RNAcentral lists this ribosomal RNA (252 nucleotides) under uncultured bacterium. Its description in RNAcentral is "partial 16S ribosomal RNA". It matches the Rfam family "Bacterial small subunit ribosomal RNA", at positions 524 to 776 of the family's 1533-position model. The record is from RNAcentral.
UACAGAGGUGGCAAGCGUUGUUCGGAAUUACUGGGCGUAAAGGGCGCGUAGGCGGCCAUCUAAGUCAGACGUGAAAUCCCCCGGCUUAACCUGGAACUGCGUCUGAUACUGGACGGCUUGAGUAUGGGAGAGGGAUGUAGAAUUCCAGGUGUAGCGGUGAAAUGCGUAGAUAUCGGGAGGAACACCAGUGGCGAAGGCGACUACCUGGCCUGUUCUUGACGCUGAGGCGCGAAAGCUAGGGGAGCAAACGGG